Molecule: ribosomal RNA, 497 nt
Filed under: uncultured bacterium
Lineage: Bacteria
Description: partial 16S ribosomal RNA
Rfam family: Bacterial small subunit ribosomal RNA
Source: RNAcentral
GAUGAACGCUGGCGGCGUGCCUAAUACAUGCAAGUCGAGCGAACAGACGAGGAGCUUGCUCCUUUGACGUUAGCGGCGGACGGGUGAGUAACACGUAGGUAACCUACCUAUAAGACUGGGAUAACUUCGGGAAACCGGAGCUAAUACCGGAUAAUAUUUCGAACCGCAUGGUUCGAUAGUGAAAGAUGGCUUUGCUAUCUCUUAUAGAUGGACCUGCGCUGUAUUAGCUAGUUGGUAAGGUAACGGCUUACCAAGGCAACGAUACGUAGCCGACCUGAGAGGGUGAGCGGACACACUGGAACUGAGACACGGUCAAGACUACUACGGGAGGCAGCAGUAGGGAAUAUGCCGCAAUGGGCGAAAGCAUGACGGAGCAACGCCGCGUGAGUGAUGAAGGUCUUCGGAUCGUAAAACUCUGUUAUUAGGGAAGAAAAAACGUGUAAGUAAAUGUGCACGUAUUGACGGUAACUAAUCAGAAAGCAACGGCUAACUACGUG